RNAcentral lists this small RNA (91 nucleotides) under Nakaseomyces glabratus CBS 138. Its description in RNAcentral is "Candida glabrata sRNA CAGL0M05871r". It matches the Rfam family "Small nucleolar RNA snR190", at positions 1 to 91 of the family's 198-position model. Lineage: Eukaryota; Fungi; Ascomycota; Saccharomycetes; Saccharomycetales; Saccharomycetaceae. The record is from RNAcentral.
UUGCUUUGAUGAAAACGGUAAUCUUCUUUCCCAGUCCGAUUCGACCAUGACGAUCAGGGUUUCUACCACGUCCAUCUUUCUCUGACUUGAC